AAUAUCCUACUUUAUGACAUAGGCUAUAAUCUGUCAUAAAGUGGCAUUAUAAUUGAAUUCUUGUCGGUCGCAAUUAGUCGCGUUAAAGAUCGGAAUGGCACCUCAAGUCCACAGUUUGUCUAUACCUACUUUCGCGUUUCUACUGGUGGCCAUGCUAGGGCUACAGGUAGUACAACCUACGCUACGUAUAUAUGAGCGCGCGGUACUGUUUGUAACAUGAGUCCUCAUUCAUAAUAAUGCCACCUACAUGAUGCAAUCACUAUAAUAAUGUGAAGACUUUGUUUUAGUAUUCAUUCUUGCGUCGAUAAGCACUGUAAUUAGUUACUCACGUCUACAUAAUUUACAAAACAAAACUUAACUUAUAUUAUAGUUACUCACGUGUACAUAAUUUACGUAUUUUUUGGUAAUAGAGUCUUGGACCUGACUACACAACGAUAAUGGAACGCGUAGAAGAUUUGACUGCUACAUCCGAAGACAAUGUCUACCGACAUGAAUAUGGGGAUACUUUCCAGUAUGCUCAAGAUCCUUUGGAAGGAUUUACUGAAGAGUUUUUAAAAAUGAAAGCUCAGCAAAAGCCGAACGCUGAGAUUCGGGAACGUCGUCCAGCAAAAUUAAGAAAAAAAUGUGUUUCUAAAAGUGCACUAAGUAAACUACAUAAUAUCCCAGUUCAUUCGUUUGUGGUAAACAGCGUUCCCAAAAAAGGUUUCCGUCUGAUAAAGAUCUCAGUGUUUGAUUUAGAUGGAUCCCAGCAACAUUGUGACAGUAUAGACGAUGAUAAUUUUUUGUUAUCCGCACAAUAUGUUGUGAAUGAAAACGGUGAUGAAAUAAUGGACCAAACCGAGAAGUUAGUCAGUAAUAUAUCAAAAAAAAUAUGUAAUUACAGUUAUACGAGUUGGUUUUAGUUUACUUUGGUAUUAAGUAUUUGUUUUAGCUGUAGGGUCGCAAUAGACUUUAGAAUGAAUAAGUCGAUAAAAUUGCAAGAUAUAUAAUUUGUAUGAAAAUAAUAUAAGUUAGGGUUUGUUUUGUAAAUUAAUGUGUACGUAAUUAUUGCUUAAAUAAAUUGUAUGUGUGAUGUGAA
Molecule: long non-coding RNA, 1078 nt
Organism: Aricia agestis (brown argus)
Lineage: Eukaryota; Metazoa; Arthropoda; Insecta; Lepidoptera; Lycaenidae
Exons: 2
Source: RefSeq, a predicted model, not a curated record